GCCGUCUGGGGUGCGAUUGACGCUGAGGCUCGAAAGUGCGGGAAUCAAACAGGAUUAGAUACCCUGGUAGUCCGCACAGUAAACGAUGAAUGCUCGUUCUGGGCGAUACAAUGUCCGGCACCUAGGGAAACCAUUAAGCAUUCCACCUGGGGAGUACGCCGGCGACGGUGAAACUCAAAGGAAUUGACGGGGGCCCGCACAAGCGGAGGAACAUGUGGUUUAAUUCGAUGAUACGCGAGGAACCUUACCCGGGCUUGAACUGCGACUGACGAAUGCAGAGAUGCAUUUUCCCUUCGGGGCAGUUGUGGAGGUGCUGCAUGGUUGUCGUCAGCUCGUGCCGUGAGGUGUCGGCUUAAGUGCCAUAACGAGCGCAACCCUUGCCGUCGGUUGCCAUCACGUAAUGGUGGGCACUCCGUUGGGACUGCCAUCGCAAGAUGUGAGGAAGGUGGGGAUGACGUCAAAUCAGCACGGCCCUUACGUCCGGGGCUACACACGUGUUACAAUGGGGGGCACAGCGCGCCGCUACCCGGUGACGGGAUGCGAAUCGUGAAAUCCCCUCUCAGUUCGGACUGGAGUCUGCAACCCGACUCCACGAAGCUG
Molecule: ribosomal RNA, 600 nt
Filed under: uncultured bacterium
Lineage: Bacteria
Description: bacterial SSU rRNA
Rfam family: Bacterial small subunit ribosomal RNA
Source: RNAcentral